Long non-coding RNA from Pseudopipra pipra, 11532 nucleotides. RefSeq lists it as uncharacterized. The transcript has 2 exons. The record is from RefSeq and is a predicted model, not a curated record. NCBI's taxonomy places the organism in Eukaryota, Metazoa, Chordata, Aves, Passeriformes, Pipridae.
AAAUACAACUCUUGCUUCUUUUUAAUUUCUUGUAGGGAGCCAAGGCCUGGCAACAGGAGGUCUAAACACUCCUUCAGUCUUUUGAAUCACAGAAAUAUACGUCUCUUACAGAUACCUUGGUAGGUGGUCUAACUAUAGCCUUUAACCCUUCUGUGCCUCAGCUCCCUCUUUUUUAAGAUACAGAUAGGAAUACUUUGCAGCCAUGCUGGCAGUAUAAAUAUCUCAAGGACAGGGAUAUUGUCUGCUAUCUUGUUACUGUAUUGCCAAAAUAUAGGGGCAGGGUAUUACUAUUUACUGUUAAAUUUCCAGACCUGUCAUUUUAAGGUAGUGUGUGUUUUGGAAACAGAGUGAGGGAGGGCUAGAGACAGAGGAGACUUGCUCAGCCUGGCUGUGGGGCAGGGAAUGGGCAAAAAGGUUGCUCCCAAUCUUCCUUUCUGGUUAUGGAGCUGUGUGGAUGGAUUUUGAGGGGAAAACCUGCUCAGCUUACAGACAGUCUGCUGCUACAGCACUGAGCUCUGAAGGUCUGGAGCUGAGGAACAGAGGUAUCAGAAAGCUUGUAAAAAAAUACCAUGAAUCACUCGUCUGCUCAAAUAGCCUUCAUAAAAUAAUAAAAAACCACAGCACCUUCUGAAGAUGUAUCUUGACAUUUCUGAGCAUGAGGGAUGAGUACAGGUCACAGAAAUCUGGAAUCCUGCAGCACUGCUCUUAUGGGCAACAGUACUUUGGAACUUUACUCUUUUGUACUGUACCCUAUAGAAGGCAAGUGAUUAAUCCACUUAAUUUGUGGGUACCAAAUGCUUGACUUAAGGAGAGAAAGGAUCUAAUACGGGGCUUAAUGCCUCAAUUGGAUUUCCUAGCAAGCUUAGGCAUGAGAUUUUUCUUACAGAGAUUAGCUAGAUUACUUGGUAGAAAUGGAAACCAGAAGACCUGGGAGUGGUUAAAGAAGGAAACAGGGAAUGGAUAGUGUAACUUCAAAUUUUUCUGUGGGGUAUGGAAAGAUAAGAAUGUACUUGGGGAAGUGUAAGGUGCUUUUUUUUAGUGGUGGAAAAGGACUGUGUUUUGAAGAACCAUGACAUGAGAGGGAUGGAAGUGAAGGAUAUGUAGAAAUGUAAGGCUCUGAAACCAGCAGAGUACAUUUAUGAAGAAGAUGUGUAGCCAAGUGAGGAGUGAUGUAACACUGAGAAAAAAAGAGCUCUACAUAUACAGCAGGUCAUUCUUACUUUUUUUUAAACUUUGAUUUUUUUCUUUUAUUUUCCCGGGGUAACAUGGAAGAAUCACAAAAUAAAAUUGCCAGUUCAUACCAUGUUUCAGCUUCUAACUGGGACAACACUUGUUCUGCAUCUGAUACAGGAGUCUCCAACAUCUGCCUUAAAACUUAGGGAUUGUUUUAUCCCAGUCUUGGUAAUAGCGUCUCUGCAGUUAACCAGAGGAGUGUUAGAGCAGUUGCUUGCAGUUCCACAGCCCAGACUCUGAGGCUGACUGAGUGAGCAUCCUUCAGUGAAACUGCACCAAUGAUCUUUAAUAGAAUUUGGAGAUGUGUAAGUGUUCAUGGCAUGGUAUAUACAUACACACGUACACAUUUAUCUGAGAAAAAUUUGUUGUGUUGUCCUGUUCUACACCUCCAGCUCUUUCUUCCCCAGUUGUGGAAGGGCUAGAGGUCCUCCAUGGCUUGCUGCCUGCCUAGGCAGUGAGUUGAAGGUGUAGGAGAUAGGAGGGUUUUGGAAACUCCCUCAGUAUGCUGGAUCCAGCAGACAUCAGUUGUGUGGCAGAUUCAGCAGAGGGAGCCUUGUGUUCAGUCCUGGAGCUGAGGAAGGGAGGAGACUUAAUGCAGCUCAGAAAGAAAAGCUCACUUUCAUUUUCCUCCCUCCCUCCUCUGGGACCUGGAGCUUGCUGCUUGGACUGGGAAUGCCUAAGCAACAUCACACGGUUCUCCUGUGACUUUUUUUUGGAAACUUCCCGUUUUCUGAAGAGUUUUCUAUUUGAGUAGCCCAUAUGCCCAGCUCUCGUUCAACAACAGCUGUCCAUGUUCCAGGACAAGAGGCAGAGGGCAGGAUGGAUGGCAGUGGUGCCUUUAUGGCUGUUCGUAGUUCAGGAGAGCAACAGUUAAGCAAAGAUGGCUUUAAAGCAAAACAAACAAAGAACUAACUUUGGUGACUUAUGCAGUGAAAAACUUUUCCCACUUCUUUAUCCCAGAACUUCAAGGUCUGAAAUGUUUUCAGGUAGGUCUUUUUUGUUUGUUUACAUGCCCAUGACUUACCUAAGCUGAAGCAGCUACUGUGUCAGUAGUGGGCAGGAGGUGAAGCCCCAGCCCAAGACAACAGACAUGAUGUUCCUGAGAGCUCGCUUUCUAUUUUCCUCACUUCUUCUCUCUUUUUUCUCUUUGCAGUGAAUGAGGAGUCUGUCCCCUAUGGGGUCCAAAAUGUUUUGAUGCAGUAAUCCUGCAACUUGAGCUAAAACUGUUUUUUCUGUUCCAGUAGGUAAGAGGUAGCCAAUAGGGAAGAAAACAAGCCCUAUUAGAAAAAGUAUUGGCCUGCCUAAGAUUUUAAACACAGUUUGGCAUGUAAUUUAAUUCUCUUUAAAACAGGCCAGCUGGUAAAAGUCUAGGUCUAACAGGAACUUGAGAGCAAUCUCAGCAAGUUAACAUGUUUUUAACACAUCCUGCUUCAUCGUUUUUACAAAGACCUGCUGGAGAGCAAGCAGUUGUGCUCCCUAAUGGUGCUGCCUGCUCUGCUGGAACACAUGGGGCACUUUCUAGUCUCUGUUACCAGAGACUGUCUUUGCUGAAACACAGAUCAAUAGACCAAAGGAACAGCUUGUGAGCCUCUGCCUCAUAUAUAGGUAUGACUUAAUUGAACAGGACAGUUUCCACCCUUAGGUAAUGGCAUCCAUGCAAGUGUGGCUGCUUUGAUGGAUAGAUCUCCUUGCAGAAGUUUCACCCUUGAUCAGAGCAAGUUAGUCAUGACCAUCUUGGGCAAUAUUGUCCUGGGAGGACAGUAAGUAUUCCAAAAUGCUACUGGGAGAAAAGAGGGACCUUGAAGCCCCUGCCCCUUCUAGAGUAAUACAAUUUGGUUUUCCCUGCAAGGACUCCAGAUCUCCUCACCUGACCAUGGCAGCUCUCUUAAGUUGAACUGGCUGAGCCCUUGGGCUAAAAUCUUUAUGGACACUCUUACCUGGGCUGGCAGGCAGCUCAGCCCUCAGACAAAAUGACUUCAUGGCAUUCCUUCCUGGAUGUGGAGAACUACCAUAGAUUUCUCCCAUAUAGCAUGUAAGGUAGGGUCAUUGAAGCCAGUGGUAUGAGAAAUGGAGGAAAUGCAGAACAGUUGCUUAGAUAAACAGCCUUUUUUCAAAGUGCCUUGCAUGUGCUGUGCUCCUUUAGCAGAGGAGCUGACUGAGGCAGGACACAUCUCUGUCAGCCCUUCCCACACCUGCACUUCUCCUGCUCUUCUACCAGCCCAGCUGACAUGCAGUGAAAGGAUGCCUUUGAGUUUCACCCAUUUGAGUCCAAAAAAUAAGCUAAAGUUUUGUAUAACUGACUUGGACAAAUGUGCACCCUUGACUUGACCCCCGAUGACUUACAUAUCCCCUCGUAUGCCUGCCCUGAGAGGCAGGCCCCUGGACACUGUUGGCAGGCUGGUUGGCAGCACGGAUGCAUUAUUUAAGUGCUCAAAUGCAUCAUAGUUUUUGUCUUGUAGCAAAAAGCCACAAGCUUGUGUAGCAUUUAAUUCAGGCUUAUUAGCAAAUCCUUCAAGCAAUGCCUCUGUCAGCAUUGCUGAGUGGGCCAGGCUUUAACCAGAGCCAGCAUAGAAGCACUAUAGUUGUACUGCUUUGGUGUGAAGAGCAGAGCCAGUGAUGUGAGUUUGGGUCCAGGGCUAUGGUAAUAUGGUCAUUCAGCUCCCAAAUUGACCCAUAUAUGAGAGUCAUGUAGAUGAAUUGCUGCUAAAAAACCCCCAGGCUGAAGGAGGUCAAACCACUGUCUGGUUCAUAGAAAAUGUGAAGCUGUGACCAACAAAUCCAGGGGAAAGACAGGAGCAUUUCAAGGUGAAUAGCAGUGCAUGCCACCAACCUAAACUAUUUUCUUUAGCCACACUGACCACGAAGGAUGAAGAUGACGGGCUUGAACCAGGGAAAUCAAUAUCCUCAACUGCCUCUAGUGAAAGAAGCCCCACUGGGAACCCCCAAAGGCUGGCAGGGCUCAUUUUCAGCUCCCUACCUUGUGGGAGAGUGCCUGCUGCUCUUGCUUGAUGGAUGUUCGUGGUGUGCAUCCUAGCUGGCUGAGACCCAGGCAUGGUGUGGGAGUAUUUCAUGGCAUCAGCAGGGGAAAGGGGAACAGCUGGGAGGUGGAUGCCACCUCUGAGGAGUGCUGGUGGGAGGGAGUGAGCUGCUGAGGGGGUUUGGCCAAGAGCCUGGUGGCUGCAUUAAGUGUAGCCGUUGGGAGGCCAUUUGUCAUAGCUGUGCAACCAGCCACCCAUCAACAGCAAUUACUGGUUUUUUACAGCUUCCAAACAAUGUUCGUUGCAAGCUGUGUUUGCUGUCAUAACGUAAAAAACAGAAAUAGGAUGAAAAAAAUCGUACCAAACCAAACAAAACUGCAGCUUUUCAGGGAUUUUGUGUUUUUCUUUUAAAGUUAACAGGUGUUCCUGGUCACCCUGCGAAACCACAGGGAAAAUAUCUGCAUACCACUGAAAUGAAGCAACUCCAAACCAAACUCUGGGAAGAUAAUCCCAUCCUUUUCUUUUGUUUUGUAGAAAUGAAUGGGUAAAACAACCAGCUUGGACUCUGGGUUUUCAUAGUGAUAGAGAGGAAGCUUUCACCACCAUCCCAGUUUUGGACUGCAUCUGAUGCAGUCUCAUGGAGACAGGGGACUGUUAUUAGAGCUGCGUGAAUAAUCUACAGCAAGUUACUGAAUGGAAGUGUUUGGCCUUUUAUCUGUUUGCAAACUAUCUGUGAGCCUGCCUGGAUGUUCUUGAAUGUGUUUGUUGUUUGAAAUAAUGCUGCUUGUAAUUUCUGUGUAUAAUCAUUUAUUUGUAGCUUGCCUAUGAGCAUUUAGAUAGUCAAAAUAUCAUUUCUCUUCCAUGGCUACAUGACUGCAACUCUGAUAUUUUCACCAAAAGUACCCACAGCCAGGAGUGGUAAAUUCACUUUCUGUAAAAACCUGUUGAAAUCUUAUUGGGAAAUGUAUGUUCAUCUGCAAUAUUUGUGGAGAAAAAAAGGGAGGAAAAUGUAGUUAAAUAACAGAGGAUUUUGGUAAGACAUUGAAAGGUAUUUCCUAGAAUUCUUUCUAUGGCUAAUUGGAUGAUUUAUGUUUUUACGUUUUGCAGUCUGGAACCACUAAAUCAGAAGCAAGUUUGCUUAGAAGAUUUCUACUUAAACCAUACACAGUCCCCAUGCCCUAUGACUCUAAAAGUGUCUCUGCAUGCUGUAGUCCAGAUCUGAACUACUUCCAGACUCCAGAAGUUGUAUACUGAAACACUCAGCUCUCUGCCAAAGGACUGUUCAAAGGUUGAAAGAAAAGCUCACCACUUGGUUUCUGAGCAGGGCUGUCCCUGCAUAAAAGGCCACCCAGCUGUCGGGGUGAUGGUGUCCCCAGCAGAGCCUGCUGCCUCAUUUGUUCCCCGAGCCACGGGUUUGGGCACCAGCACCACAGGCACGUCACUCAGCUGCGCUGGGCACAAAUGCCCACAGCUCACUGCUGCUCCUUGCCAAGCUCUCAAGAGAAUGGAACGUACCCUUUCGAGGAGGAACCCAGUGUACCAGGGAUGUUUGCCAUGUGCUCACGGGGCCAAGUCAAGACAAAGCAAACAUUUCACCCACGUGCUUCGCAAGCCACCAGAGCUUGCAGGGAUACACCUGAAUCAGCCGGGCAGCCAAGCAGCAAUGAGGUUUUAUAACUAUUUUGCCCUCCAAAAAUUGGUGCAUACUCAGUGCCUAGAGUGCUCCCAGCACUGCCCUGUUGUGCCCACUUGUCCAGUAGAAUUGAAGCCAGGUCUUUGACAGCCAGCAAGUUCUGCUAGCAGCUCUGAAAGUUUCUUUGGCAGCAGUGUCAGACUGCUUCCCAUCUGCACAGGCAGGAUUAAGGGAGCUUUGCAGGGCAAGGGUGGCCCAGAAAAAACUCUUGUAUUUGUUUUCAUUUGUAGUAUUUCAGUUACCCUGCAUGAUUGGAUGGUUUUGUGAUAAGGACAUCUUGAGGGAUAAAUUGCGCAGGCGUAUUAAGGAAAAAAUAGUCAAUACUGUGCACAGGCUAAGUGCCUCUAUCAAAAAUUCACAUGUAUUUUCAGGCAAGAAACAAUGUUUUGCAAAGAAAACAGGGCAUGAAUCCAUUUUGGUUGUCUGUAAAAAUGUCUUCUUCUGAAAGAAAUGUAGAAGAGAAAAUUUUUUACUGAAAACAUUCCCUGUUCCUGAACCCUCUGUUUCCAAACAGCAUUGCUCUGAACUAUUGUAUGUGGGUAGGAGUUUUCAAAAUAUUAGAUCUCCUUUGGCUAACUGAAAAGUUGUGUGGGCUGUAGAUAUCUCUCUGUAUCUAUAUUGUUAUCUUGUUACAGGCUGCUUAGAAAGCUAAUGGGCAGCAGAUCAGUGAAUGACAGUAAAAGCCAAAGUACUGUAGGCAAAGGUGUGGGCUUGGAUUCAGGAGAUGAAACAGGCUGUGAGCUAAUACAACUUACUUUACUCUGUUUCCCUUUCCAGGCUUUGUCUUUACCACUUAAAACCGUAAACAUGUUGAGCUUUCUAUAAUGGAUUAAGAAAAUUAAACUUACUGUGAUGAAAAGGGGGAGACAAAAACAACACUGUUCUUUCUUUCACACUUCCUACUCUCUCUCUCUGUCGAUUUGCUGGGUACUUUCAUCCUCUUUUUUUCUGUCCUACCCCUUAUUGGGACUCCGUUACUAUCCUUCUUUGUCUUAUGCCUUCUUCCCCAAGAAAGUUUUAAUGGAGAGGAGUUAUUUGAGGGAGAAAAUAUCUGCCCAUGGAGCUUGUGACUGGUACAGAAUGAAAUGGGAGUUGCGCUGAAGAUUCAGCUUUUUUGUGGAAAAUGAAAACAAAAUCAACCUUUUCUCAUAUUAUUGACAUUUCUUCAGAGGGUAUGGUCAUUUGUAAAGAAAACUUAAGCCAGAAUUUAGGCUUUGACUAUUGAAAUGUUUUGAUGAAAAUUUGCCAACCUCUUAAUUUACUUUUCCAAUUCUCCAAUUAAGGAAAAAAAAAGAUUACUCAAAGAAUCUUUCCCACCACACAGCUCCCUCCUUCCCCUGCUUUUCUUGGUUUUUUUUUUUUUUUUUUUUUUUUUUUUUUGGGUCAAACCAAUUUUCCACUUGCACUGAUUCAACGCAAUCUUUUUAUUCCAGAAGCUGCAUUGCAAUAAGGUUGAAAAAGGAGGCCAGCCCCAGCUGAUUUAAUGCUUCGCUCGUGAUCGUUUGUACCCUUUUCGUUUCUCUUUACCUUUUUUGAGCUGAAUUUGGUGGGGAGUGUUUUAUAUGCUAAAGUGUACCCGGCACUCAUCAAUUCUCCUUUAGUGAUGAGCUGUAUCACUGAGCUGUAGCUACUGGGGUGCAUCAUGGGGUCACCCCAUUUCUCAGCCAGCUAAUAGCUGAUGGUUGAGGUCUAUGUAUACAGCUACUGCAUACAUAAUCUGGGAUGGAGGAGGAAAAAAUCUUUUAAAAUUGUUCCCAACAAGGUAGUCUGAAUGUCCGUUUGUCAUUUUGGGCUCUACAUGAUGUAUCUGUGAAGGGUAAUAGAGGGUUGGGACUGAUUUAGACCUGAAAAAGAGCAGUGUGAAAGGUUGGUAGAGAAAUGAUAGACCUCAAUACCAGUGCUUAAGCUGUGGGCAAAUUCCUCAGGCUUUACCCUUUCCUCUCCUGCAAAGGAAAUUACUUAAUAUCAUUUACUUACAAUAUCUCAGGUUCUGUUUUUUAACUGAUAGAAGCAUUUGGGAUCAUUUUUAAAAGCUAGUGCUGUAAAGGGAUGUGGUGAUGGGAUGUCUCUCACAAAGCUGUUGAAGAGGACUGCAGAGGAUCCUUGGACAGAGAGUUUCCACGAGGGAGGAGAAAGAUUUAAUUAAUAACAGCAUUAACUUGCACCCUAGACACAUUGCCGGUGUACAGCCAAUCUGCCUUUGCCUUGCUUCACCACACUGCAAGCUGUGCUGGGCAGGCUCUGUUAGGCUCCCUGCUCUCUGCACCAAGCCCGAUUUCAGUCUCUGGGCUCUGCCUCAGCCUUAAAAUACAGAGAUGAUGCAAAUUCUUCAAGAAAGGAAAAUGAUGUUUGUUCUGGGGAAGGUGGGAUGCAACCCUAAGGGGGACUUGAAGUAGUGCACAGCCUGAGUCCAGGAGGAUGCAACAAGGAUGGAGCAGGUGCUGACUGGCAGCAUGUUUUUAACUACUGUUGAUAUUUAACGGUUGUUUUGUCAAACUGGACUGAAGCACCUCCCACACAGUCCUCUUCAUUACAGUAAAUUAGGAAUAGUGCUUGAAUAGGGCUGGAGAAAGGUUACAGAGCUUUACUCAGUUCUUAAGGCAUUAAAUCACCUCCAUUUCCAGCUAGGACAACUACACCAGUGUCAUUUUGAAAGAAAUGGAACACAAAGGGUGAGCUGGCUGGUUGGCUUUAGUGCCCUAGAGCACUAAGCUAUAAGGCCUUGUUUGUGGUGAUGCCAGGAAGGUUAAAUUCCACUUCUUGGGCGUGACAGAAGCUUGUCCUAAAAUGCAUGCAGAGUCUGGCAGCACCCAUAAAAAGGAGGUAAUGAUGGAGCUGGCAAAGUGGGUAUCUGCCUGCUCCUUUUCAUUAAUUAAGUACAGUUGGUCACAACGGGGCAACUCAGGCCAGACUGGGAGAGUUAGCUACAGAAUAAGGUUUGACUCUAAUCCCUGCUGAGAAUAACUGAGUUUCUUUCACAGGGGAUAUACAAGACUCAGGCAGAUUUUGUCUGUAUUCUGAAAGUGUUCUCCAUCUUUAUGUUUUGUGGCACAGUCUGGAAACACAAUAAAAGGAGUCUCUGGGUGGCUCUGUGUUCAUGUGACUCUGAAUCAGUAUCUAAAUCCUGCCCAAUUCCUGUCUCUUUCAAAUCAUACAUUUUCUUAAUAUGAAUCUAAAUAUCACAAACUUUGGUCUUAAGUUGUCACUGUUUAGUUAAAGACACAGUUCUGAGCAGAGUUUGAACAGAUGGGCAGGAUGGUGAAGGCCAAGAUAUUCAGUAGUACUUGUGGCUCUGUCUCCAAACUUUUGCCUCACAGCCUGUCCCAGCAUGGGUGUUCCUUAAGUGGAUACUUAGAAUUUUCCCAGCAUGGAAAGAAUCAGAACUAAUUUUUCAUGUUGCAAUCUUUCCACCAGAUGUAUUGACACCUGGACAAAAAGCUUUGUUAUCCUUCUGGUCAAGAUGAGUAUUCACUUAAAUGUUUGACAAGUGAGUGUGAGGGAAUUCAGGAGAAAAAACAUCUUUGUCCAACUCCAAGAGAAAGGCUUUGUCUAGAUAAGUGUGGUCGGUUACUUCGUGUUUGCUAUGACUGAACAGCCAAAUAAAAGGAGGAGCACAUUUUAAUUUGUCCCCUCCCUCCUGAGGGCAGAAGUAGGAUUAAAUCAGCAUAGUUGGAUGUGCUGACAAACCAGAGAGCCAAGAAGGUGGCAGUGAUAUAAAACACUUUCACAUAGCAAAGGAAGAGGUCUGAUUUCCACAUGCUCCAGCCAGGGACCGGAUGGGUGUUGGGCUUUGGUAUGUGGUUGAGAUAAGAGUCAGUGGUCCUUCAAAAUACUGUGCUGCUACCUGAACUCACAGCUGUGUGGCUCCCCUUCCCUCUUAGGGUUAACUGUAAACUAUCUAGGCUAGGCCAUACAGACAAGCCUUUAUGCACUUGCAGUUAUGUCUCCCAUACCAUCAGUUUUCAGGUGCAAAGACAAAGGUCAGUUCUUAGAAUGCUCCUCCUGGAGACCACACAGAUCUUAUGCGUUGGCACUUCAUGAUCCCAGAAACACUUCUGGCCUCGGCAGGACAGGCCUAAAAGCAGCAGUGCCUCAGACUAUGCUGAAGGUUCAAUAACCAAACGGUGUGGGGAAAUCUUGACUGUGCUUUAAUUUACUAUAUUGCAUUGCUAGCAAGGCUAGAUGCAUAAACAAUAAUGAUUAAUAAAUCUGUUAUAUCCUCCUUUUUUUUCCUAUUUGCAAACUGCCCAAGCAAUUUUGUCAACUGCAUUUGUUAUUCAGAAUAUUUCACUAAGUAAUUUCUGGAGAUAAUACUUGUGUUUUUAUCUUGUCUGGGAAGUUAUGCUGGGUCUGACAUUGGAUCUGUUUUUGUUAGAGACAUAAAUCUCUCUUUUGUUGUUUCAGAAUCACAUUUCCCAUCCUACCAUUUGCAAUUACAGAUAUGAAACUUGCUUGCUUUGACUGCUCUUCAACAUCCAUUUAUCACUGGCUAUUUCAGCUGCUGUUGAAAAGCUAGUAAACUGUAUCAUUCUCACAUUUGGGACCAAACACCAUACAGGGAAGCAUGAAUUUACUUGCACAAAAAUUAAAGACUGAAUGAGCAUCUGUGAAUUUUCCUUUAUUUUGGAUGGAUUUGUUAUAAUUUUGUAUAUAGUCCAUAUUUUGUCUGAGUACCAAGCUGAUGUGCAGCAGAAAAGAAAGGCCAUUCAUGGGCUGUGUAUUUGGACAGCUUGUGUUGAAGCACAUAUCAUUACCACCACAUUUGCUAUUUGCUCAUCAGACACUAAUGCAUCAAUCUCUAACCAAAAUGGCCUGUAUGGGCAUGGAGUAGACCUGAGAGACUUCUCCACUAACUAGAGCACACAGAAAGAAGUAAUCAUUAUGGCAAUGAUCCUUCAAAUGGGGCAUGUGUAACAUAGUCUUCUAAGCAAUGCUGGCCCAGGUUUGGCAAGAGUGAUGAGGGACAAGGCUAUCUGGACAUCUGGUCCCCAGCUGGGUAGAAAAUACUCCUUAAGGGCAUCCUCAAGAGUCUGAGUCCCAGCAGAUGGAGAAGGGAAAGCAGGUACCCACCUCUCUGGACCAGUUCUCUAAACAAUGUGGGGAGGGGGGUUAAAGAAAAAGGAAGGUGAACAAGGUCUACUACUUCAUUCUGCACUUCAAAAGAAAGUGUUGGCCACCACGACCUUUUGGAGGGAGGAGAAUCCUGAAAAUGUGCUCUGAGAAUGGUUAAUAGGUCAGGAGUCUCAGGGAAAAGAGGAGGAGAAAUAUUUUGUUCCUUGAUCAUAACUCAGCUUAGACACCAAGCUGCUCAGACAUUUUUGGGCAUGCAGAAAAGGAGAUUACUUGUUUCUGGGAUCAGGCUUCAGCUGAGAAAAUGUCUCUCCAAGACACAGUUUUUGUAAUUGGGUGCCCAAAUUCCCCUGAGCUUUCACUGGCUACAGCCUCUUUGACCUUGUCUGAUGUAAGUGUAAGACUUUGGGGCAUACUGCUCCAAUGUCAGCAGAGCAUUUUGUAUCAUGAAAGGAGAGGCUGGGGCAGAAAAACUAUUUGCAAGGAAACAUCUUAAUGGACGACUUUUACAAUUGUUAUUUAUUUUGGUGGUGUAAUAAAGGGGAAAUUUUCCGACAA